Molecule: unclassified non-coding RNA, 1355 nt
Filed under: uncultured Neocallimastigales
Lineage: Eukaryota; Fungi; Neocallimastigomycota; Neocallimastigomycetes; Neocallimastigales
Description: partial contains internal transcribed spacer 1, 5.8S ribosomal RNA, internal transcribed spacer 2, and large subunit ribosomal RNA
Rfam family: Eukaryotic large subunit ribosomal RNA (bases 595-1355)
Source: RNAcentral
AAAAUAAUCCUACCCUUUGUGAAUUUUGUUUGUUUGAAUAAUUUUUUUUUUUAAAAAAUUAUUGGAGUCUUUCCCUUUAGAGUUUGCUUUUGAGUUUGUAAAAGAAUUCGAAAACAUCUAAAGGGGAUGGUCAAUAAUUUUUUUUGAAAAAAGACAUUUUUUAAAAUUAAACUUUUUGUAUUCAUUUGUCUAAAAAUUAUUUUUAUAAUAUAAAAACAACUUUUGACAAUGGAUCUCUUGGUUCUCGCAACGAUGAAGAACGCAGCAAAAUGCGAUAAGUAGUGUGAAUUGCAGAAUACGUGAAUCAUCGAAUCUUUGAACGCAUAUUGCACUUUUUUAGUUUACUAAAAAAGUAUGUCUGUUUGAGUAUCAGUAAAAUAUUCUCAUAAAAAUCAUUGUGUAUUUUUAUGGUUAUGAGUGUUUUACAACGAUACAAGUUGUUUCACUUUAAAUUUUUUUUUAAUAUUGAAAUUUUUCUAAUUUUAAUAAUUAAAAUUGGAUAAAAUUUUCCCGUCAAAAGGAAUAACCUAAACAAUUUUAAACGAUUAAUUUUAGCAAAAUUUUCGUAAAAAGGAAAUUUUUAUUAAAAUAACUUGAUCUCAAAUCAGAUAAGAGUACCCGCUGAACUUAAGCAUAUCAAUAAGCGGAGGAAAAGAAACUAACAAGGAUUCCCUUAGUAACGGCGAGUGAAGCGGGAAGAGCUCAAAUUUGAAAUCUUCAAGGUUUUACCCUGACGAAUUGUAGUUUAAAGAAGUGUUUUCUGCUGAAGUUUUGGUAAAAGUUCUUUGGAAUAGGACAUCAUAGAGGGUGAGAAUCCCGUAUUUGACCAUUAUUUUCAGCUUUGUGAUACACUUUCAAAGAGUCGGAUUGUUUGGGAAUGCAGUCCAAAAUGGGUGGUAAAUUUCAUCUAAAGCUAAAUAUUGGCGAGAGACCGAUAGCGAGCAAGUACCGUGAGGGAAAGAUGAAAAGAACUUUGAAAAGAGAGUUAAACAGUACGUGAAUUGUCAAAAGGGAAGCGUUUGACACCAGUGUUGUUUUCUCGAAAAUCAAUUAAAAAUGGCUCGAUUUUGUAUUGCUGAGACCUUAAAAGCUCACUGUACAUUUUUCGUGUCUUUUUUAAUGCACUUUUCGUUUAACAAGUCAACAUCAGUUUCUUUUGUUGUAAAAGGGUCAUUGGAAGGUGGCUUUCUUUUCGGAGAAAGUGUUUAUAGCCUUUGGCCUCUGCAAUCGGAGAGACUGAGGUCUGCAGCGUAGACUCUUCGGGGUUAGAUACAUUUGUGCUAAGUUAUAGCUUUUUAUAGACAACUUGUUGACUAUAAUUAGUCUUGUAGCUUACUCGCUUAUGUUAUUUUACC